GAGACAGCAGUCGCCGCGGUAAAACGGAGGGAGCUAGCGUUGUUCGGAAUUACUGGGCGUAAAGCGCACGUAGGCGGCUUGGUAAGUUAGAGGUGAAAGCCUAGAGCUCAACUCCAGAAUUGCCUUUAAGACUGCCGAGCUAGCAGGUGAGAGAGGUAAGUGGAAUUCCGAGUGUAGAGGUGAAAUUCGUAGAUAUUCGGAAGAACACCAGUGGCGAAGGCGACUUACUGGCUCAUACUGGACGCUGAGGUGCGAAAGCGUGGGGAGCAAACAGGAUUAGAUACCCCCGUAGUCCCUGUCUCUUAUAC
This 308-nucleotide ribosomal RNA is filed under the name uncultured bacterium. Its description in RNAcentral is "partial 16S ribosomal RNA". It matches the Rfam family "Bacterial small subunit ribosomal RNA", at positions 505 to 807 of the family's 1533-position model. The record is from RNAcentral.